CAAUAGCGUAUAUUAAAGUUGUUGCAGUUAAAAAGCUCGUAGUUGGAUUUCUGGUGGGAGCGAUCGGUCUGGCGCUUAGCGCGAGUACUUGCAUCGUCUCCGGCCAUCCUUGGGGAGAGUCUGUCUGGCAUUAAGUUGUCGGGCAGAGGAUCCUCAUCGUUUACUGUGAAAAAAUUAGAGUGUUCAAAGCAGGCUUAUGCCGUUGAAUAUAUUAGCAUGGAAUAAUAAGAUAGGACUUUGGUACUAUUUUGUUGGUUUGCGCACCAAAGUAAUGAUUAAUAGGGACAGUUGGUGGUAUUCGUAUUCCGUUGUCAGAGGUGAAAUUCUUGGAUUUACGGAAGACGAACUACUGCGAAAGCAUUUACCAAGGAUGUUUUCAUUAA
RNAcentral lists this ribosomal RNA (383 nucleotides) under uncultured eukaryote. Its description in RNAcentral is "partial 18S ribosomal RNA". It matches the Rfam family "Eukaryotic small subunit ribosomal RNA", at positions 592 to 976 of the family's 1831-position model. The record is from RNAcentral.